CUUACUUUUGCAUUUGGAAACACUGGUACAUUUUGUCAUGAGCACUAGACUCUAUUUUAGAUGAAUCUUGACCAUUUUAGUAAUUAAACAAGCACUUAAAAUUUGGAGGGCUGCCUUUGAAAGGACACACUGCAAUUACAUAUAGCAUAUCUUCUGCAUAAAGGAUUCCUAAGCCUUGGGUGCUCACUGAGUUAAAACAGUUUCAAUGAUUGAACAUUACUUCUGUAGUAUCACAAAGUCAUUAAGAACCAAAGAGAAGCAUGUAAUCCCAGUGACUCUGGAGGCUAGGCCAGGACAAUCAAAAACUCAAGGCCCACCUCAGUAACUGAGUGAGAACUUGUCUCAAAAUUAAAAGGGCUGGAGAUGUAGCUUGGUGAUAAGCUGUUGCCCCUCAGUUCAAUGCCCACUACCAGAAGAAAACUAAGAGAAGCCAAUGAAGGUCACUUGUCUAUAGUGUCAAACUUGGAAAGGAGAUGAAAUGCUUAAGUGAAGCAGCCUAAGAAUAAACUCAAGAAGGGAAAAAGUAUAUUCCCAAACUUUGCAUAGGCUUAAAGCAAACAUUUUUGGAAGAGAGAUGGGUGUUUGAGUUAAAAUGUUGGCAAAAGAUGGGUCUGUAAAAAGGAUGCUGAAAACUCUUUGGCAAGAGCAAAAUGCCCUUAAAACUUUUGUAAAGUUACACAAAACAUUUGGCUGUGGCCCCACAUCAACCCUCCUUUCAGUACAGUGGUCUUGGAGCUCUGUCACUUUACCCUGAGCACCCAUCCCCUCAGAAUGCUCUGCCUCUAGAGGUGAGGAGGUCAAUGACAUUGUAGCCUAAAGCAUUGACCUCCCUUGGAGGUGGGUCUAACUAGGC
Molecule: long non-coding RNA, 853 nt
Filed under: Marmota monax (woodchuck)
Lineage: Eukaryota; Metazoa; Chordata; Mammalia; Rodentia; Sciuridae
Source: RNAcentral